UGAGGAAUAUUGGUCAAUGGGCGAGAGCCUGAACCAGCCAAGUAGCGUGCAGGAUGACGGCCCUAUGGGUUGUAAACUGCUUUUAUAUGGGAAUAAAGUGAGGGACGUGUCCCUUAUUGCAUGUACCAUACGAAUAAGGAACGGCUAAUUCCGUGCCAGCAGCCGCGGUAAUACGGAAGGUCCAGGCGUUAUCCGGAUUUAUUGGGUUUAAAGGGAGCGUAGGCUGUUUGUUAAGCGUGUUGUGAAAUGUAGGAGCUCAACUUUUAGAUUGCAGCGCGAACUGGCAGACUUGAGUGCGCACAACGUAGGCGGAAUUCAUGGUGUAGCGGUGAAAUGCUUAGAUAUCAUGACGAACUCCGAUUGCGAAGGCAGCUUACGGGAGCGCAACUGACGCUAAAGCUCGAAGGUGCGGGUAUCGAACAGG
This 424-nucleotide ribosomal RNA is filed under the name Verrucomicrobiota bacterium. RNAcentral describes it as "Verrucomicrobia bacterium partial 16S ribosomal RNA". It matches the Rfam family "Bacterial small subunit ribosomal RNA", at positions 355 to 776 of the family's 1533-position model. The record is from RNAcentral. Lineage: Bacteria; Pseudomonadati; Verrucomicrobiota.